GGUGGAGACCCUGGGUGGGCACUCGCGCCUGCGCAGAAGCAGACCCUCUGCAGACGCCAGCGGCUCGGUGGCUGACGGCCAAGUCCAUUGUCUGCGCUCCCUGUGCCAAGGCGCUUGGCUCCUGUUUACUGGGCUUUUAUCUGCGUUUAUCUUUUCAACGGCAAGCAUCGUCCACCUUGAGAAGUUGCUACUAAGGAGAAACGAGCAGUAAUCUUCAGGACAUUUCUCAGGACAACAUUCAUAAGUCAAAGCAAGUACCAGGAGGAAGUGGCCGUGUUGUGUGAGUGACUUCAGGUGCCCUCUUGGAACCACUCACCAAGAAGCCCACGCACCAAACCCAUCUGCAAAGUGUGUGGGAAAGAAAGAGAAGUCUCCAGUGAAUUGUGGACUCUUGAGUUAAACCUAAAGCUUUCCUGCCUCCUGAUGUCAGUCCAGUGAAAUAAAAGACCCUUCCCUUUUUA
Molecule: long non-coding RNA, 461 nt
Filed under: Ictidomys tridecemlineatus (thirteen-lined ground squirrel)
Lineage: Eukaryota; Metazoa; Chordata; Mammalia; Rodentia; Sciuridae
Description: lncRNA (ENSSTOG00000033454.1)
Source: RNAcentral